CUCUAUAUGUAAAAUUUUCAGCCUCUCUUUAAAUGUUGCGUUUUUUUUUUUUAAUUGUAUGUGAUUAAAGGCUGAAGGAAUAGGAGUGAAUCCUCUUCUGGUCAUCAUUCCAGCUACAAUAAGUGCCUCAUGUGCUUUCCUUUUGCCUGUUGCAAAUCCUCCCAAUGCCAUCGUUUUUUCCUAUGGUCACCUCACUGUUCCAGACAUGGUA
Pelobates cultripes (western spadefoot toad) is the source of this 211-nucleotide non-coding RNA. The record is from the annotation of a GenBank genome assembly. Lineage: Eukaryota; Metazoa; Chordata; Amphibia; Anura; Pelobatidae.